This 344-nucleotide ribosomal RNA is filed under the name uncultured bacterium. Its description in RNAcentral is "bacterial LSU rRNA". It matches the Rfam family "Bacterial large subunit ribosomal RNA", at positions 115 to 476 of the family's 2925-position model. The record is from RNAcentral.
CGAAUGGGGAAACCCACUAUAUUGAAGAUAUAGUAUCCGAAAGGAAGCGAACCCGGAGAACUGAAACAUCUAAGUACCCGGAGGAGAAGAAAACAAAAGUGAUUCCGAUAGUAGUGGCGAGCGAAAUCGGAUUAGUCCAAACCAAAGUUGUUACGGCAAUUUUGGGGUUGUAGGACCACGUUAUUGAAUGUUUUAUGAAUUAGAAUUCUUUGGAAAAAGAAACCAUAGAGGGUGAUAGUCCCGUAUAAGUAAAGACAAUUAUUCAUAGUGGUAUCCUGAGUAGUGCGGGACACGAGUAAUCCUGUAUGAAUCAAGCGGGACCAUCCGCUAAGACUAAAUACUCC